Molecule: ribosomal RNA, 253 nt
Filed under: uncultured bacterium
Lineage: Bacteria
Description: partial 16S ribosomal RNA
Rfam family: Bacterial small subunit ribosomal RNA
Source: RNAcentral
UACGUAGGGUGCGAGCGUUGUCCGGAAUUACUGGGCGUAAAGAGCUCGUAGGUGGUUUGUCGCGUUGUUCGUGAAAACUCGGGGCUUAACCCCGAGCCUGCAGUGGAUACGGGCAGACUAGAGGUAGGUAGGGGAGAAUGGAAUUCCCGGUGUAGCGGUGAAAUGCGCAGAUAUCAGGAGGAACACCGGUGGCGAAGGCGGGUCUCUGGGCAGUAACUGACGCUGAGGAGCGAAAGCGUGGGGAGCGAACAGG